AGCUGACAUUCAGGAUUUGUGCACCCGUGAAAUGUCUAAGCUGCCGAAGGAGUACAGCUGGCCCGAUAAGAAGUUAAAGAUCUCCGUCCUGCCUGACACGGCGUUUGACAGCCCACUGCAAUAAGACUGGGAGCUCACUGUCCCCGAUUACAAACCCACAUCUCCAGAAAGGAGACCAACUCUUUUGCCAGACGCAUGUGCCUAUAGACGGCUGAAGGAAACAGACUUUCAGAUGCUUCCCCCCUUCCCAGAGAGCAUUGUAAAUGUACAACAUUUUGUACAUUUUGUCCGUUAUACCACUUGUCUUUGUAUUGGUCUACCUAUUUACUCAUAAGGAAGCUUAAAAAAAUAGCGAUUGUUUUUCUGGUUUGUUUCAAAAGACACAUUACAUUUCUUAUUCUGCAGCACUAGACAAUGUGCAAGCACUGGUGCCUUUAUUCACCUUUGAAUGGACUGAAGUGUCAUUUUGAGAAAGUCCGCUCUUCUAAAUCCUGUUUGUAAUGUGAAGGAAAGCAUAUUAAGGAAAAGGCCUUUUUUACCAUGUUUAUCUAAAACAUUCUGUUAUGUCUGAGUAUCUGGUUUUACUCAAUUUAAAUAUAUAAGAUACAGUAGUGUCUAUUUAAGGUUGAUGAUCUUAAGGUCUUAAUUAAGUUGUAGUCAUAAGUGGUUAGUCAGUUCACCUACACAAUACCAAAGCCUGCACAAUAUGGGUGUUUUUAAACUGUCUUAUGUAAAGUUGAGAAUCAUAAAUUAGUUCCCUGAUCUUGGUUUUAUUUUAUUGUUAUUUUUAACUAUUUUACUUUUCCUUUGACUUUAUGAUUGCAUUCCAUGUCUUUAUAGGGAAGCAAACAAACUGGUUCCUGAAUGGCAAUCAAUUUUCUAGAAUGUGCUUUUGUGAUUUUUAAAUUUUGGGAAAUGUGCUCAAUAAUAUAGGUCAAAGGUGUAAAAAAAGAACCUUUAUUUGUGCUUUUUAAAAGAGGAAUUUAAUUAGAGUGUACUGGUGUUUUUUAUAUUCUGGAGAAUCACUACACUGCCUGUGGUUUUGUUACCCUUAAGUGCAUUAAACUUACAGAAAAUCGG
Molecule: non-coding RNA, 1080 nt
Organism: Pimephales promelas (fathead minnow)
Lineage: Eukaryota; Metazoa; Chordata; Actinopteri; Cypriniformes; Leuciscidae
Source: RefSeq, a predicted model, not a curated record